RNAcentral lists this ribosomal RNA (253 nucleotides) under uncultured bacterium. RNAcentral's name for it is "partial 16S ribosomal RNA". It matches the Rfam family "Bacterial small subunit ribosomal RNA", at positions 524 to 776 of the family's 1533-position model. The record is from RNAcentral.
UACGUAGGUGGCAAGCGUUGUCCGGAUUUAUUGGGCGUAAAGCGAGCGCAGGCGGUUUCUUAAGUCUGAUGUGAAAGCCCUCGGCUCAACCGAGGAAGGUCAUUGGAAACUGGGGAACUUGAGUGCAGAAGAGGAGAGUGGAAUUCCAUGUGUAGCGGUGAAAUGCGUAGAUAUAUGGAGGAACACCAGUGGCGAAGGCGACUCUCUGGUCUGUAACUGACGCUGAGGCUCGAAAGCGUGGGGAGCAAACAGG